RNAcentral lists this transfer RNA (81 nucleotides) under Caudoviricetes sp. RNAcentral's name for it is "tRNA-OTHER". It matches the Rfam family "tRNA". Rfam says of the family: Transfer RNA (tRNA) molecules are approximately 80 nucleotides in length. The record is from RNAcentral. Lineage: Duplodnaviria; Heunggongvirae; Uroviricota; Caudoviricetes.
AGCAUAGUAGUUUAAUGGUAAAACCAUAGAGUGCCAUUGAUUUGUGUGCCUAUUAUGCGGGUUCGAAUCCCGCCUAUGCUC